GCACAGGUGAAUUCUGCACAGCUUUGCUCUGUAGCUGGUGCAGUCAGACACUGUGCCAGAGCAAGGUCCUUCCUCACGGGCCGGGUGCCUUUUCCUUGGGAAGGGGCAUUG
Molecule: non-coding RNA, 111 nt
Organism: Colius striatus (speckled mousebird)
Lineage: Eukaryota; Metazoa; Chordata; Aves; Coliiformes; Coliidae
Source: Rfam